GGGAAAAACUGGAUAUUGGUUGAGGGAGGCUGAAGCAAGACCCUGAAGUGUCUACAUUCCCGAGACAGGUGUCUACAUUCAUUCUCUCCACGUCUCACUUCCAAUUUACUAUCGCUCUGUAGCUUCUAGCUCCCUCCGCCGCCGCUGCUGCCGCUGAAAUCAUGGCUGCCAAAUGUGACAGCGGUGGCUGCCCUGCCUCUUGCCCCUGCCCUUCCUGCUUCAGCUCUCAGCUACUGCUCCAGCACCAUGCCUGUGUGCCUGUCUGUGGUCAUGCUCCCUGCCAUGCUCCUCAUGUCCUCUCCCACUGAAGA
RNAcentral lists this long non-coding RNA (311 nucleotides) under Mus pahari (shrew mouse). RNAcentral describes it as "predicted gene 12828 (MGP_PahariEiJ_G0003766.1)". The record is from RNAcentral. Lineage: Eukaryota; Metazoa; Chordata; Mammalia; Rodentia; Muridae.